RNAcentral lists this ribosomal RNA (719 nucleotides) under uncultured Staphylococcus sp. RNAcentral's name for it is "bacterial SSU rRNA". It matches the Rfam family "Bacterial small subunit ribosomal RNA", at positions 42 to 743 of the family's 1533-position model. Lineage: Bacteria; Bacillati; Bacillota; Bacilli; Caryophanales; Staphylococcaceae. The record is from RNAcentral.
GCGUGCCUAAUACAUGCAAGUCGAGCGAACAGACGAGGAGCUUGCUCCUCUGACGUUAGCGGCGGACGGGUGAGUAACACGUGGGUAACCUACCUAUAAGACUGGGAUAACUCCGGGAAACCGGGGCUAAUACCGGAUAACACAUGAAACCGCAUGGUUUCAUGAUGAAAGACGGUUUUGCUGUCACUUAUAGAUGGACCCGCGGCGUAUUAGCUAGUUGGUAAGGUAACGGCUUACCAAGGCAACGAUACGUAGCCGACCUGAGAGGGUGAUCGGCCACACUGGAACUGAGACACGGUCCAGACUCCUACGGGAGGCAGCAGUAGGGAAUCUUCCGCAAUGGGCGAAAGCCUGACGGAGCAACGCCGCGUGAGUGAUGAAGGUCUUCGGAUCGUAAAACUCUGUUAUUAGGGAAGAACAAGGAUGUAAGUAACUAUGCAUCCCUUGACGGUACCUAAUCAGAAAGCCACGGCUAACUACGUGCCAGCAGCCGCGGUAAUACGUAGGUGGCAAGCGUUAUCCGGAAUUAUUGGGCGUAAAGCGCGCGUAGGCGGUUUUUUAAGUCUGAUGUGAAAGCCCACGGCUCAACCGUGGAGGGUCAUUGGAAACUGGAAAACUUGAGUGCAGAAGAGGAAAGUGGAAUUCCAUGUGUAGCGGUGAAAUGCGCAGAGAUAUGGAGGAACACCAGUGGCGAAGGCGACUUUCUGGUCUGCAACUGA